UCCGGUUUGUCACCGGCAGUCUCAUUAAAGUGCCCAACUAAAUGAUGGCAAUUAAUGACAAGGGUUGCGCUCGUUGCGGGACUUAACCCAACAUCUCACGACACGAGCUGACGACAGCCAUGCAGCACCUGUGUUACGGUUCCCUUUCGGGCACUCCUACCUCUCAGCAGGAUUCCGUACAUGUCAAGGGUAGGUAAGGUUUUUCGCGUUGCAUCGAAUUAAUCCACAUAAUCCACCGCUUGUGCGGGUCCCCGUCAAUUCCUUUGAGUUUUAAUCUUGCGACCGUACUCCCCAGGCGGUCAACUUCACGCGUUAGCUACGUUACCAAGAAAGUCACCUCUCCCGACAACUAGUUGACAUCGUUUAGGGCGUGGACUAC
Molecule: unclassified non-coding RNA, 379 nt
Filed under: uncultured Gammaproteobacteria bacterium
Lineage: Bacteria; Pseudomonadati; Pseudomonadota; Gammaproteobacteria
Description: contains 16S-23S intergenic spacer region
Source: RNAcentral